Molecule: transfer RNA, 75 nt
Filed under: Patescibacteria group bacterium
Lineage: Bacteria
Description: tRNA-Arg
Rfam family: tRNA
About the family: Transfer RNA (tRNA) molecules are approximately 80 nucleotides in length.
Source: RNAcentral
GCCCCUGUAGCUCAAUUGGAUUAGAGCAAGAGACUCCUAAGCUCUAGGUUGUGCGUUCGAGCCGCACCGGGGGCA